UUUUAAAAAAAUAUUCAAUAAAAAAUAAUCCAAAUAGAAGAAAACAAGAAUUAAAAAUUAAAGUCAAAUUUUAAAAAAAAUAUAAUUUUGUAAUGGUGAGAAAUAUUUUCACCAGUGCAGUGAAGGCUUAGAAGGACAAGAUAUUAAAAUGUUUGUAAAAGAAAGAGAUUAAAAUUUUAAUUAAUGGACACAAGAUUUCGGAAAAUAGAUUUAAAAGGAAACAGAAAGAAAAUAAAAGGUGAUAAAGGCUAAUCAAAUGUAUGAAUCUCUGCAAUAAAAAGUAUGAAACAAGAAUUCUUUACAAUAAUUUCAAAUAAGGAAACAG
Molecule: long non-coding RNA, 325 nt
Organism: Apis mellifera (honey bee)
Lineage: Eukaryota; Metazoa; Arthropoda; Insecta; Hymenoptera; Apidae
Exons: 2
Source: RefSeq, a predicted model, not a curated record